RNAcentral lists this ribosomal RNA (497 nucleotides) under uncultured bacterium. Its description in RNAcentral is "partial 16S ribosomal RNA". It matches the Rfam family "Bacterial small subunit ribosomal RNA", at positions 28 to 507 of the family's 1533-position model. The record is from RNAcentral.
GAUGAACGCUGGCGGCGUGCCUAAUACAUGCAAGUCGAGCGAACAGACGAGGAGCUUGCUCCUCUGACGUUAGCGGCGGACGGGUGAGUAACACGUGGAUAACCUACCUAUAAGACUGGGAUAACUUCGGGAAACCGGAGCUAAUACCGGAUAAUAUAUUUAACCGCAUGGUUCAAUAGUGAAAGACGGUUUUGCUGUCACUUAUAGAUGGAUCCGCGCCGCAUUAGCUAGUUGGUAAGGUAACGGCCUACCAAGGCAACGAUGCGUAGCCGACCUGAGAGGGUGAUCGGCCACACUGGAACUGAGACACGGUCCAGACUCCUACGGGAGGCAGCAGUAGGGAAUCUUCCGCAAUGGGCGAAAGCCUGACGGAGCAACGCCGCGUGAGUGAUGAAGGUCUUCGGAUCGUAAAACUCUGUUAUUAGGGAAGAACAAAUGUGUAAGUAACUAUGCACGUCUUGACGGUACCUAAUCAGAAAGCCACGGCUAACUACGUG